GAUGAAGAACGCAGCGAAAUGCGAUACGUAAUGUGAAUUGCAGAAUUCAGUGAAUCAUCGAGUCUUUGAACGCACAUUGCGCCCCCUGGUAUUCCGGGGGGCAUGCCUGUCCGAGCGUCAUUGCUGCCCUCAAGCACGGCUUGUGUGUUGGGCCUCCGUCCUCCUCCCGGGGGACGGGCCCGAAAGGCAGCGGCGGCACCGCGUCCGGUCCUCGAGCGUAUGGGGCUUUGUCACCCGCUCUUGUAGGCCCGGCCGGCGCUUGCCGACACAUCAAUCUUUUUUCCAGGUUGACCUCGGAUCAGGUAGGGAUACCCGCUGAACUUAAGCAUAUCAAUAAGCGGAGGA
Molecule: unclassified non-coding RNA, 345 nt
Filed under: soil metagenome
Description: partial contains 5.8S ribosomal RNA, internal transcribed spacer 2, and large subunit ribosomal RNA
Rfam family: 5.8S ribosomal RNA (bases 1-120)
Source: RNAcentral